GACGAACGCUGGCGGCGUGCUUAACACAUGCAAGUCGAACGGAAAGGCCCUGCUUUUGUGGGGUGCUCGAGUGGCGAACGGGUGAGUAACCCGUGAGUAACCUGCCCUUGACUUUGGGAUAACUUCAGGAAACUGGGGCUAAUCCCGGAUAGGAGCUCCUGCUGCAUGGUGGGGGUUGGUAAGUUUCGGCGGUUGGGGAUGGACUCGCGGCUUAUCAGCUUGUUGGUGGGGUAGUGGCUUACCAAGGCAUUGACGGGUAGCCGGCCUGAGAGGGGGACCGGCCACAUUGGGACUGGGAUGCGGCCCAGACUCCUACGGGAGGCAGCAGUGGGGAAGAGUGCACAAUGGGCGGAAGCCUGAUGCAGCCACGCCGCGUGCGGGAUGACGGCCUUCGGGUUGUAAAGCGCUUUCGCCUGUGACGAAGCGUGAGUGACGGUAAUGGGUAAAGAAGCACCGGCUAACUACGUG
RNAcentral lists this ribosomal RNA (468 nucleotides) under uncultured bacterium. RNAcentral's name for it is "partial 16S ribosomal RNA". It matches the Rfam family "Bacterial small subunit ribosomal RNA", at positions 28 to 507 of the family's 1533-position model. The record is from RNAcentral.